RNAcentral lists this ribosomal RNA (448 nucleotides) under uncultured bacterium. RNAcentral describes it as "partial 16S ribosomal RNA". It matches the Rfam family "Bacterial small subunit ribosomal RNA", at positions 330 to 794 of the family's 1533-position model. The record is from RNAcentral.
CCCAGACUCCUACGGGAGGCAGCAGUGGGGGAUAUUGCACAAUGGGGGGAACCCUGAUGCAGCGACGCCGCGUGGGUGAAGGAGCGUUUCGGCGCGUAAAGCCCUAUCGGCAGGGAAGAAGGAGGACGGUACCUGACUAAGAAGCCCCGGCUAACUACGUGCCAGCAGCCGCGGUAAUACGGAGGGGGCAAGCGUUAUCCGGGUUUACUGGGUGUAAAGGGGGCGCAGACGGCAGCGCAAGCCAGGAGUGAAAGCCCGGGGGCCAACCCCGGGACUGCUCUUGGAACUGCGCGGCUGGAGUGCAGGAGGGGCAGGCGGAAUUCCUGGUGUAGCGGUGAAAUGCGUAGAUAUCAGGAGGAACACCGGUGGCGAAGGCGGCCUGCUGGACUGCGACUGACGUUGAGGCCCGAAAGCGUGGGGAGCAAACAGGAUUAGAUACCCCGGUAUA